This is a long non-coding RNA of Motacilla alba alba, 5013 nucleotides long. RefSeq lists it as uncharacterized. The record is from RefSeq and is a predicted model, not a curated record. NCBI's taxonomy places the organism in Eukaryota, Metazoa, Chordata, Aves, Passeriformes, Motacillidae. The transcript is spliced from 3 exons.
AAGGCUAUGAGGAAUUUUUCCCUUUUGCUGCAGGGUGUUGGGGAAAAAAUGUGUCAGGAUGUGGUGAUGGGAUUACCCUGCCACAGCCAUGCUGGGUAAUGGAACCUUCUCCAAAAAUUCAUCAUUGUUUGGGGCUGAAAAGUCCUGCUGGGGCUAGAAGGUCCAAGCUGGACUUUUGAGCUGAGAAUCACCUUCUGGAGAGCAGAUGGGACCCUGCACUGAGCAUAGGUCUUCUGCUGGUGCUGAGCUUCGAUGGGAAAGCACUCAGUGGGUUUUGGGACUGUGGAGACCAGUGAAGGCUCAUCCAGGAUUUUCCUGGGCUGGAAUUUAUGUAUGCCCCUGGCCAGCUGAUGAAAAAUCUGGAAAACCCAGGACCUGCCAUGUCUUGCAGAGCCACUGGCUUGGUGUAGGCAAAGCCCAAGCCACUAAUUACCUGCCUGAGGACAAAAAACUUGUGGAUUUGUGUUUUCUUAGUGUCUGAUCCAAGGAGGUCCCCAUCCAAGUGGCACCAAGAGUGCCCCAGGGAGAUCUGGCGUCCUUCUGGAGAACAUGCAAAGCAGGAAAAGCUUUGAAAGCCAAGAGAAGGAAGAGGAGAUCCCUGGGUGUCACUGAGCAUCUCCUCCAGGCCUGGCUGAUGCAAUGCACUGAAAAUUGCUGCGUGGGAAGAGAGGUGUCUGAAGGUGAUGAAUGGCUUUGCUAUGUUUGCCAAGGAGAUGUUUUCCUUUGAUGGGCACCAAAACACCUGGGCUUGCCCUUCCUGGCUGGAAGAGUGAAAUUCCCUAAAACAGCUCACAAAUACAGGCCAAAUCGGUGGUUUCAGGAGAAAAAGAGGAAGGCUGGAGGGGAGAGGCCAGGCCCAGCAAUCUGAGCUGGUUCUUCAAGGCAUUCCAGCCCCAGCAGCAUCCCGUGGAGAGGAGUUCCCUGGAUGAACAUGCAGCCUUAGCUCACCUCUGCCAGGGCAGGGACCUGGCACUGGAGCAUCACCAGUAAUUUUCCACCCGUCUCCACACUGUGGAAAUACACCCAGGCAUGGAAAAAGCCUAGAAGGGAAUAAAGAAGACACUUGGCCAGUAGAGCUUGGCUGGCUCCCAGCUCAAGGAACAGCUUCAGGUUCAUCCCCAGCUCUCUAGUGCUUGGCAGGCUCGGCUGUCUCAGCUCCUACAAACGGGACAGGCCAGCAGCAUUCCUGCCAAAACCCCGGGUCCUCCCGCUCCAACAGCUCCCUGCACCCCCGGGUUAGCUGCAAGACAAAAAGGGGGGAAAGUGGCCUUUUCGUGGGGUUUGGUUGGGAUUUUUUCCUCCUUCUCACCGCAGAGAAAAGGAGAAGGAAAUACUUGGCACGGAGGGCGGAGCGAGGGGGAGCUUGGGGACAGCGGGGAUGUGGCAGUGGGAGGCGAGUGGGCCCUUUAUGAGGCUCUAAUUACUCCAGCCAAAACCCACAUUCGCCUUGAUGAGUGAAAAGAGGUUUUUACGAGGGCAGUAAGAUGUCCCAGCCUGCCGGGGCGGUGAUUGCCAGCCAAUGGCCUGGGGCUCUCCGAGGAGCCGCUGGUGCUGCUGCUGCAAUUCGACUCCAGCUCGGCAAGAGGGUCCGGCCGUUUCCCAACCUCGCGGUGCUAAUCCCUCUUACCUCAGUGGUGCAGCAAUAACCCCCGGAGCCACCACCACCUCCCGCUGCCGGCGGUGCAGAGCACACCAUGUUCCCAGACAAGGCUCCUCACACCCUGCGCGGCCCCGGCAAACAAGAGCGGCUUCCCAAAUCCCACGAGCAUCCUUCCCCCAGCAGCUUUCCUUGGAAAACACCCUCGAAGAGUCACUGUCCCCAGCCCAUUUCCUUGAAAACUCAGGUUGGUGUGAAAACGGUGCUGAAACAGGCUGGGAAGGGGGCAGCAAGGGCAGAGUGACCGAGGUCUGUGAUAUCCUCAUGAGUCCAGAGAAGAUAAGUGAUGAGAGGGUGAUGACUCACUGCCUCUUGUGCAAAACCCAGCACCAUCCGAUGCAUCCAGCAUGUCCAAAGAUGUUUCUCCAUAGAAUUUCUCCUGACAGGGGAGGAUGAGGGCGGCUUCAAAAAGCAAUUCCUGGAAGAGGAAGCCACCCAAGACACCUAGACCACUCACUCUGCUGGGUGUAGAAGCUCACUGAGGCCUGAUGUUUUCCUGGGAUCCUCUCCUUCAGCCGAUGGUAGUGGAGGAUGGAAACCAAUCAGUGAAAUGUUGCUCCCACAUCUAAGGCACAGGGUAGCAGUCAGUUCCUGGGGACAGGCAGGCCAAGCUGCAGGGUCAGGACUGGCAGGUCUGAGCAGGGGCAGGAGGGGGUUAUUUGUUAGGGGUGGUCAUGAAGGAAACAAGAUAUGCCCUUUCCCAAGGAGGCUGAAGGGAGCUGAAGACACCAGGAUUUAGCCCCUGGGAAGAAUGAGUCAGUCACAGGGGUGACCACAGGGAUCUGUUAUCACAAGGAUCUGUUAUUGGUGGAAAAUCUGUCUCAUGAGGGCAUCAAAGCAGCUCCUUGUGUGCCAAAAGGAAGGGAGAAGGGGAGGAAAAGAGGACAAAGGUCCUCAGUGCCAGGCAAGGAGAGUUCUGUGGCCCCCAGCCUCUCUGGGAUGGUGCAGGAGGGGGUUCAAAGCCCUGUGUCCUUCCAUUUGAGAGCUUCUUCAGCCCAUCCUGACAGCCCAGGGGCUGGGGGAGCUGGGAGGGGAAGGUCUCAUUCUGACAGCACCACGGAGCCAGAGCUGGGCCCAGCGUGUGUUACUCACCUUUAAACUAUGUGAGUAAACAGAGAAGGCUCCUCUUCCUGGUCCCACCUCAGCAAUUAGGCUGCAGGCUGGAGCAGAGGAGCUUGAAUCCACCCUGGCAGAUCACAGGGAUGCUCUGCUCUCUCUGCUGAAUCCUCAGGCCAAGCCACCCUGGAGAGGAGGAUGGUGAAGCUCCAGUUGGCCUCCUGGACCAUCCCCUCCUAUAUGGAGCUUCUUGGAGAUGUCCCACCAGGAGGAAAACACCCCUUUCCCAUCACUUCUGGUGUUUUCACAUGGGAAUAAAUCACAUGGGACUCCAUUUUCUUCAUGGUGGAAAAAAAACUAUUCUUUAUUCGCAUAACUCCUUUUCAAACAGUUUUACAGACCUCGUGUGUGACUCCAAUGGGUUAGUAGCUUUCUUGUCAAUUAUUGAUUGGUAACAAGUUGUUAUUCUGUAUUGAUUAGUCACUCAAACCCCUGGGGCGUACGUGCAGGAAAAGUUGUUUGUGAGAGAUAGUUUUCAUUUUAAUAUUUAAUGGUGUAAAAACAGUUUAUGCAGGUGCCAGUUGUUUUUCACCCAGGAAUAGAUUGUUAUGCUAAUGAACUGCUCACAACAGGAUUGCUUUCACAUGGGAACUUGCCAAGUGCCUUAGAAGAAAUGGCAGGCUAGCCAGAGCAGGCCUGAUUUUAUGAAGCCUUUCUUUUCGAUUUUUCUGCAUUACUGCAACAUUUUUAUAACUGUGUUACCAUUUUUCGAUGCUGAGCAGCAGCGACACUCAUGGCUCACUGUGACGUGGGGGAAGUGGAGCCAACUGGGAAGAAUUCAGUUGGGAGACUCGGCACCAGCUGGGAGGAAGAAGAGAUGAUCCCACAGGAAAGGGACCUCCCUGCUGGCACAGCAAAAGCCUCUGAGCUCCAGGGAUUUGGUGGCCACCACUGCAACAGUGAGUCCCAUUGGAUCCUGAUAUCUUCCACUUUAGUCCUUGGGGUUCCCAGAGAGGCUUGGCUCUUCUCUGUGGAAAACCUUCAUCCAUCUUGGUGUCCUCUUCCCCACCAGUGCCUAGAGGAAGAGGAGAGACCACCCUGGACCAUCCCCUAGAGGGAAGAGAGCAGCCUGCAGGGCAGAACUGGAGCCAGACCAGGGCCAGGGGAUCUUGCAGAAGACUGAAGCGUUUCCAGGAUUGCCAGUGGUCUCUGCAGGCAGGAGAGGGAAUAAAAUGGUCAAAUUCCUCACAAUUCCAUGCCUGUCCUCCCACACAGAGUAAAGGAAUGCGGGAGAUACCGCAGCAAUGCCAUGCAAACACCCUGGAGAGGUGAACCUCCUCCUGACCCCAGCUAGGAGAGAACAAAAACUGUUUUAAAGACUUUUGGAGCAUCUUGAUACAUCUGUGGGAGGCUUGUGGGCACUGGAUGUGUGGGAAGCAGCUGAUGGGUCGAUAGCCUGCAGGAACACCGAACACAUGGACAUCAGAGAUAAGUGGUGGAGGCAGAGUCCAGAGAUGUUACAGAGACCUGUAGCCAUUCCCACGCUGGGAAUCAUGUAGAAAUAAAUUAAUUAACCAUUCCAGAGCUUUAGGUACAGGCAACAACAUCUCUGCUGGCACGGACACAGGGAUUCUCUUUGGGAAUGAGGCCAAGGAUGUGAAGAGAAGGGGAAGAAGGUCCAUGUGUUGCUGAGGUUCAAACUGGGUGACCUCAACCAGAGCAGAAACAAAGGGAGGGGAAAAAAAAACGAGGUAAGAAAGGCAGCUUCCUCAGGCUGAACCCUUGCAAGACUUACUCAGAGUUACAUCAUAGUGCUUAUUAGGAUGCAGAUCCCUGAGAGCCAUGGCUCCAGAGCCUCUGGAAGGAUCCCUGGGGAUGUGGGACUCCCUGGCCAGCAGCCAGGGUAGUAGGGAUGGCACCCCAAUCCCAGCUGUGCCACUGAGGCCAGCUUCCCAAACACGGGCACUGCUGCUGUCCCCACAGAGGGACUUGGCUUUGUUUGGGAGCCCAGGGAGGUGAGGGGUGUUUGGGCACGGGGCUGCCUCCUCUCUGUGCUCCUCUCAGUGUUCUGUGGCUGGCACUGCACAGCUGCUGCUGGCCAGAGCUGAGGACAGCUCACCAGCUUCCCUGAGCUGGCUGUCACCACACCCAAGGCUUUUCCAAGACCACAGAACUAUUCCUCACCACACAGCACUGAGCAAGGUGGUUUCCCUGCCCUGGCUGCUCUCCUCCUCUGUACCAGGAAUGCUGGGAUGUCCCUGGAGGUGCCCAAGGAACAAACCCGGGUAGGGGGCUGCUUC